GGGAGAGGGGAGCACCCUCCAUAAUUUAGGGGGCAUCCGGCAUCACUUUUGCUUUGACACCAAACCUAGCGCUCUCUCUUUCCUCCUAUGUCCCACCCCCGCUUACUUCCUAAGAAAGGCCCCCUCUCCUUCCUUCCUUCCUUCCUUUUUAUUUAUUUAUUUAUCUAUUUAUUUCCUCCUCCUCCCUCCGCCCAGAGCCCUUGGCAAGGAUGGAGCGCAGGUAAAGCUCCCCUUUGAUGCCAUUCGCGGCUGCUCAUUGGCUGGCUGGCGGGCCGGCGGUGCCUGCCACUGGCCGCUUUGUUCUCUCGGACGGAACGUUCCCCUGCCGGCCGCGCGGCUCUUGAGCGGCAGCAGCAGCAGCCGCAGCUCCUACUAUGUGAAAGGGAAAGAGAGACAGAGACAGGCAGAGAGAGAGAUAGAAGCACCGCGCCGGAGAGAGUUGCGAGGAGAAGGAAUGACAGAAAGAGCUCGUUACUGCAGGCUGCAAAAUAACAGCGGGGAGGAAGGGAGGGAGGAAGAGCGCGCCAGAGAGCGGCCCCACUCCCUCUCCCUGCCAGAGUGCCCGGCAGAAGCGGCGGCAGCGCAAGGGCAGGUGGAGAGGAGGGGGGGGGUCGCACUCCCUUCUUCCCCUCAGCAGCAGAAGACAAGGCGGCGGAGGCGGCGGCAGCAACCGGGGCUGGCCGCGAAGGCGCUCAAGAUUCUCUGCCCAGGAGAAACAUGGGGUCUUCCCAGUAGAACCUGCCAUUUCCCCCAAAACAGCAGAAACUAAUGGAAAGAGGGCGGAGUUUAGAUAUUAUAGGGCACAGAAUAGAAACUGCACCAACAGCAUCUAGCCAAAGACGCAGAAGUGAAGCAUUACCCAGGGAAUUGUUUCUCAUGGAUCAAUACCAUGUAAAAUUCACUCAGGAGCCAUAUACAACAAUACUUAUGGGAAAUACACAUAUAUAUGGGAGCAGAAUAGCGGAUAGAGAUUUUGCAAGUAACUCUGGCUUUGCUGGCUGUGGGAAUACUGAGAUGCCAAUGGAUGGUGUGUCAAGACAGCCCCAAAUUAUUUUGGCCACAUCAAGUUAAAAUGUCUGUGCUUGAGGCUUCUGGAGUGCCGACAAGACUCCAAAAUGCGACUCCAUGAUGCGAUUCCAGGGUGCACAUUAAGCAGAGGUCUGUUUGGAUUCUUUGGAGAAAGCCCUUCCUUAAGGUUCCUAUAGAAUCCAGAAAGGGAUGUCACAGGACAGCAAAGCUGUUCGGCUGGUCCUUUAAUUUUGCUACCUUUUAGGGGUCUUUUCUUUAUUUCUACCAUCAUGCUGAAUAUCCUUUCUUACAUCAAAUUCUCCUUUCACAACUCAAGAGGUUGUGUUACCCCACAGCACUUCUGGCCCAGGGAUUCUCCAUGGUGACUGACUGAACAACUUUCAAUACAGCCUACACCUGCCUUUUUGGUCAGCCCCAUUGAGAAAUGCAUGGUGAAGUCUGUGCAGCUACAACCUUCGUGUUGGGAAGAGAAAAGGGCAGUAAGGAAGGGUUCGGACAAUGGUUAUUUCUUCCCAGAGGCUCAUCUUCUUACCAGAUGCAUCAUUUGCCCCACUG
Molecule: non-coding RNA, 1584 nt
Organism: Podarcis muralis (Common wall lizard)
Lineage: Eukaryota; Metazoa; Chordata; Lepidosauria; Squamata; Lacertidae
Source: RefSeq, a predicted model, not a curated record